AGUGAACGCUGGCGGUAGGCCUAACACAUGCAAGUCGAACGGCAGCACAGUAAGAGCUUGCUCUUACGGGUGGCGAGUGGCGGACGGGCGAGGAAUACAUCGGAAUCUACUUUUUCGUGGGGGAUAACGUAGGGAAACUUACGCUAAUACCGCAUACGACCUACGGGUGAAAGCAGGGGAUCUUCGGACCUUGCGCGAUUGAAUGAGCCGAUGUCGGAUUAGCUAGUUGGCGGGGUAAAGGCCCACCAAGGCGACGAUCCGUAGCUGGUCUGAGAGGAUGAUCAGCCACACUGGAACUGAGACACGGUCCAGACUCCUACGGGAGGCAGCAGUGGGGAAUAUUGGACAAUGGGCGCAAGCCUGAUCCAGCCAUACCGCGUGGGUGAAGAAGGCCCUCGGGUUGUAAAGCCCUUUUGUUGGGAAAGAAAAGCAGCAGGUUAAUACCCCGCUGUUCCGACGGUACCCAAAGAAUAAGCACCGGCUAACUUCGUG
This 492-nucleotide ribosomal RNA is filed under the name uncultured bacterium. RNAcentral describes it as "partial 16S ribosomal RNA". It matches the Rfam family "Bacterial small subunit ribosomal RNA", at positions 29 to 507 of the family's 1533-position model. The record is from RNAcentral.